This is a non-coding RNA of Schizosaccharomyces pombe (fission yeast), 1168 nucleotides long. Lineage: Eukaryota; Fungi; Ascomycota; Schizosaccharomycetes; Schizosaccharomycetales; Schizosaccharomycetaceae. The record is from the annotation of a GenBank genome assembly.
UUAGAGUCAGAGCAAUCCAGUAUGACUUUGUAGGAGUUGAGCGAAAAUGCUAGUUUUAUAAGUGUUAAAACCAUUAAUUUUCCAAUUGCUUUUCUCUGAUGAUCCGGAUGCACAAUGACUUCUUCUAUGUGUCCGCAAAUUCCUUUUCCACGUAAAAACUUUCGCUCCAAGAAUAAUGUGGCCGUACCAAUCUAAAUAUUAGUAAUAGGUAAAAAAUACAGGGUAAAGAUGCUGCGUCUGUCAAGGGAUUAAUGCCUUGCAAACAGGACAGCUCAUAUUAGUGUGGACAUACGACAUGAUGAGAUUCAAGAUCCUCCACUACGAUAAUGUAGUAUGUUGAAUGAAAGUCUUUCUUCAUUUCCAUGAAAAGGUUUUGGUAUGCACCGAGGAGUGGGCGGCUAGAAGCGGCUGCCAAAGUGUCUAGCAGAUCCAAAUAUUCUAAUAAAACCAAAAUUGUUAGUAAUGCUUGCCGAACUGAAAAGGAAAACUAAAACACAAUACCAUCGUCUAUAUCACUUAGACGUAGAGGGCGGAUGCAGUAUGAAAGUUGGCUUGCAUCCUCAACUACGCCGGAAACGGCGUCUUCAACCAUCGAAGGAGGAAAUAAAAACUCGCUUAAGUUAGGAUAAUUUUCACCAACAUCUUUUAACUUAAUAUUAGCUCGAAUUUUGCUCACGACAGACGGAUAAUAUCCCACAAAUGGACCAGUUUCCAGAAAAGCGAACAAGGGUGCAAUAAACAGUGACUGGAUUAAAUUAUCCAGGAGCGCAGGUUUUCUCUUUUCAAAUACCCCAUGUCCAAUAAAUUGUAAAAUCCAACAUAUCACAUGAACGACUGCGGCACUUCGAUUGACUAGGCUUCUGGAGAAGAUUGUAAAUAGCUUGGAUGGCAAGAUAUAGGAAAACAAGUAAAGUACCGGAGAAUAAAGGAGACCAUCUAAUGGAUCUAAAGUUACAUAAAAAAUCUGAUAAGCUAGCCCAACUAGAUGAGCAACAUUUAUUUGAAGCUUCGAGUUUAUCAAUGUUAUUACAAAAUUAUGUAACAAAACUAAGGCAGUCAACAAUAAUAAUGGAAUGCAAACUUCUAAGUUAGUUUAACCAGUUUAUCUGAAAAAUCUAUCUCACCUUGAUGGAUUUUUAUAUUGACGGGAUUGGAAUGGUAAGCGGCG